CAAGUUGUUCUGAAAGUCCCUAAAGCAUUUGUUAUAAUUAGUGGGUUUGCAAAUGACUUAGUUUAACAGCAUCUCCUUUGUACAAUGCUUUGUUAUCCUUUUGUAACAUCACAACAUCUGGUUUGUAUUUUCUGUGACUACAGGUGAGAAAAGCCACUCUCUACUUGGUUGCAAAUUCUAUUCCACUGUCCAGAUUUUCCCCCCCUAACAACUUGCUUGCUAGUCCUCCAUCCCUAGCAUGACUCUUAGAUAUUGCAUCACCACUUCCCUUUCGCCCAGUGCUCUCUGACCUACCACGUGAACAUGUGAAAGGAGGCGGUCAGUGUACCACCAAGCGUCACAGCGUUGGCGGCUUCAUUCAUUUUGACCUACAGUUAGGCCCGGGUUGGGGAACUGAGGGGGAGGUACUGAAGCCCAGAGAGGGGAGACGAAGCAGAUAACUGCUCACUUUCUCUUCUCUUUUUGCAUUUCCAGUUUUAGAGAGAACGCGCAAAUGUCUCAACUGUAACAGAGGCCUCCACUUCAGCUUGUGUUUCAAGGACACCAGGAGAACUAAGUUUAAUCCGUCCAGCCCCAGCAGCAUCCUCAGGACCAAGACCAAACAGGAUGAGUUUCUGAAAAGAAGACCUUACUGGAAUGCGUGCUAA
RNAcentral lists this long non-coding RNA (647 nucleotides) under Fukomys damarensis (Damara mole-rat). RNAcentral describes it as "lncRNA (ENSFDAG00000027556.1)". The record is from RNAcentral. Lineage: Eukaryota; Metazoa; Chordata; Mammalia; Rodentia; Bathyergidae.